GGAGAGGUGUCUGAGUGGUUUAAAGAGCACGCUUGGAAAGCGUGUGUGCGCCGCAAAGCGUACCGAGGGUUCGAAUCCCUCUCUCUCCGCCA
Molecule: transfer RNA, 92 nt
Filed under: Kiritimatiellaceae bacterium
Lineage: Bacteria; Pseudomonadati; Kiritimatiellota; Kiritimatiellia; Kiritimatiellales; Kiritimatiellaceae
Description: tRNA-Ser
Rfam family: tRNA
About the family: Transfer RNA (tRNA) molecules are approximately 80 nucleotides in length.
Source: RNAcentral